RNAcentral lists this transfer RNA (57 nucleotides) under Bos taurus (domestic cattle). It matches the Rfam family "tRNA", at positions 8 to 63 of the family's 71-position model. From Rfam's summary of the family: Transfer RNA (tRNA) molecules are approximately 80 nucleotides in length. Their secondary structure includes four short double-helical elements and three loops (D, anti-codon, and T loops). Further hydrogen bonds mediate the characteristic L-shaped molecular structure. tRNAs have two regions of fundamental functional importance: the anti-codon, which is responsible for specific mRNA codon recognition, and the 3' end, to which the tRNAs corresponding amino acid is attached (by aminoacyl-tRNA synthetases). tRNAs cope with the degeneracy of the genetic code in two manners: having more than one tRNA (with a specific anti-codon) for a particular amino acid; and 'wobble' base-pairing, i.e. permitting non-standard base-pairing at the 3rd anti-codon position. RNAcentral also lists the same sequence under 2 other names. Lineage: Eukaryota; Metazoa; Chordata; Mammalia; Artiodactyla; Bovidae. The record is from Rfam by way of RNAcentral.
UAGCUCAGAUGGUAAAGAAUCUGCCUGCAAUGCAGAAGACCCAGGUUCAGUUCCUGG